UGUAACUGACUAUUUGUCGCAAGAUGUUGCAGGAACAGCCAAGUCUGUGUUGUUAAAUCAUAAACUACGAUCUGAUUACCAAUACAAAAUCUUUCUACAAGCACAAACUAGUGCUGGUUUAUCACAAGCAUCCACUUUACUUAUACCUCAACUAUAUAAAAGUUUGGUAAAGGCUACGAUGGUAAUAGCUGAAAAAAUUAAUGUAACAGACUACCUAAUAUCUUGGAAACAAGAUAACAAUACUCUAGGUCAAACAAAUUUAGUUAAACUACAUUACUGUUAUGGAAAUGUCUUCGAGGGAUCCAAAAUAGUGAAUUGCAAGACAGGAUUAACAGAUAUCAUAAUACCUGAUGAUGAACACCAAUAUAGAUUAAGAUUAAAGACCAAACCUAAUUCUCUCUGUGAAGAUUGUCGUUGGCAGUUUUCUGUAUCCAUAGAAACUAAGUCCAUAA
Molecule: long non-coding RNA, 452 nt
Organism: Patella vulgata (common limpet)
Lineage: Eukaryota; Metazoa; Mollusca; Gastropoda; Patellidae
Exons: 3
Source: RefSeq, a predicted model, not a curated record